GUGUCAGCCGCCGCGGUAAUACGGAGGGUGCAAGCGUUAUCCGGAUUCACUGGGUUUAAAGGGUGCGUAGGCGGGUAGGUAAGUCAGUGGUGAAAUCCCCGAGCUCAACUUGGGAACUGCCGUUGAUACUAUCUAUCUUGAAUGUUGUGGAGGUGAGCGGAAUAUGUCAUGUAGCGGUGAAAUGCUUAGAUAUGACAUAGAACACCAAUUGCGAAGGCAGCUCGCUACACAAUUAUUGACGCUGAGGCACGAAAGCGUGGGGAUCAAACAGGAUUAGAUACCCCUGUAGUCC
This 292-nucleotide ribosomal RNA is filed under the name uncultured bacterium. Its description in RNAcentral is "partial 16S ribosomal RNA". It matches the Rfam family "Bacterial small subunit ribosomal RNA", at positions 505 to 796 of the family's 1533-position model. The record is from RNAcentral.